This 24-nucleotide non-coding RNA is filed under the name Rattus norvegicus (Norway rat). Lineage: Eukaryota; Metazoa; Chordata; Mammalia; Rodentia; Muridae. The record is from RNAcentral.
UUUUGAGGUGUUAAAUAUGGUGGU